RNAcentral lists this ribosomal RNA (447 nucleotides) under uncultured bacterium. RNAcentral describes it as "bacterial SSU rRNA". It matches the Rfam family "Bacterial small subunit ribosomal RNA", at positions 29 to 521 of the family's 1533-position model. The record is from RNAcentral.
AACGAACGCUGGCGGCAGGCCUAACACAUGCAAGUCGAGCGCGCCCUUCGGGGUGAGCGGCGGACGGGUUAGUAACGCGUGGGAAUAUACCCUUUUCUACGGAAUAGCCUCUGGAAACGGAGAGUAAUACCGUAUGAGCCCUUCGGGGGAAAGAUUUAUCGGGAAAGGAUUAGCCCGCGUUAGAUUAGGUAGUUGGUGGGGUAAUGGCCUACCAAGCCUACGAUCUAUAGCUGGUUUUAGAGGAUGAUCAGCAACACUGGGACUGAGACACGGCCCAGACUCCUACGGGAGGCAGCAGUGGGGAAUCUUGGACAAUGGGCGCAAGCCUGAUCCAGCCAUGCCGCGUGAGUGAUGAAGGCCUUAGGGUCGUAAAGCUCUUUCGCCUGUGAAGAUAAUGACGGUAGCAGGUAAAGAAACCCCGGCUAACUCCGUGCCAGCCGCCGCCGU